UGGGGAAUUUUGGACAAUGGGCGAAAGCCUGAUCCAGCAAUGCCGCGUGUGUGAAGAAGGCCUUCGGGUUGUAAAGCACUUUUGUCCGGAAAGAAAUCCUCUGGGUUAAUACCUCGGGGGGAUGACGGUACCGGAAGAAUAAGCACCGGCUAACUACGUGCCAGCAGCCGCGGUAAUACGUAGGGUGCAAGCGUUAAUCGGAAUUACUGGGCGUAAAGCGUGCGCAGGCGGUUUUGUAAGACGGAUGUGAAAUCCCCGGGCUUAACCUGGGAACUGCAUUCGUGACUGCAAGGCUAGAGUAUGGCAGAGGGGGGUAGAAUUCCACGUGUAGCAGUGAAAUGCGUAGAGAUGUGGAGGAAUACCGAUGGCGAAGGCAGCCCCCUGGGCCAAUACUGACGCUCAUGCACGAAAGCGUGGGGAGCAAACAGGAUUAGAUACCCUGGUAGUCCACGCCCUAAAACGAUGUCAACUAGUUGUUGGGGAUUCAUUUCCUUAGUAACGUAGCUAACGCGUGAAGUUGACCGCCUGGGGAGUACGGUCGCAAGAUUAAAACUCAAAGGAAUUGACGGGGUCAUAGCUGUUUCC
RNAcentral lists this ribosomal RNA (585 nucleotides) under uncultured bacterium. RNAcentral's name for it is "partial 16S ribosomal RNA". It matches the Rfam family "Bacterial small subunit ribosomal RNA", at positions 355 to 937 of the family's 1533-position model. The record is from RNAcentral.